AGAAUAAAAAUAAACCCAUAAAUUGAAAAUUCUAUCUAAAUGUUCUAAAGAUUUUAUUGGGAAACUGUAUUUUGGGGUUAAUUUUCUAGAAUCUUGUAUAAUGUGUUCUCUACUUAUCAAAUGCUAGGUUUGUAAUCUAAGAACCACAGCAAGAGUUAUGUUACUUUUUUUCUAAUUAAACAGGACUUGCCGUCUCUAAACCAGAUCUUAUUACAUGUCUGGAGCAAAGGAAAGAGCCCUGGGAUGUGAAGAGACACAGCACAUUAGCCAAACUUCCAGCUGUGACCUCUCAUUACACUAAAGACCUUUUGCCAGAGAAGAGCAUAGAAGACUCCCUUGCAAACUUGCCAAUGGGAAAAUAUGUGAUCCACACUGGAGAGAAACCCUACAAAUGUGAAGAAUGUGGGAAAGCCUUUCACAUUCAUUCACUCCUUACUCGACAUGUGAUGACCCAUACUGGAGAGAAACCCUACAAAUGUGCAGAACGUGGCAAAUCCUUUCGCUCUCGAGGAGGAUUUGCUGGACAUAAGACCACUCAUACUGGAAGGAAACCCUACAAAU
This is a long non-coding RNA of Carlito syrichta (Philippine tarsier), 561 nucleotides long. RefSeq lists it as uncharacterized. NCBI's taxonomy places the organism in Eukaryota, Metazoa, Chordata, Mammalia, Primates, Tarsiidae. The record is from RefSeq and is a predicted model, not a curated record. The transcript has 3 exons.